GACGAACGCUGGUGGCGUGCUUAACACAUGCAAGUCGAACGGAAAGGCCCUGCUUUUGUGGGGUGCUCGAGUGGCGAACGGGUGAGUAACACGUGAGUAACCUGCCCUUGACUUUGGGAUAACUUCAGGAAACUGGGGCUAAUACCGGAUAGGAGCUCCUGCUGCAUGGUGGGGGUUGGAAAGUUUCGGCGGUUGGGGAUGGACUCGCGGCUUAUCAGCUUGUUGGUGGGGUAGUGGCUUACCAAGGCUUUGACGGGUAGCCGGCCUGAGAGGGUGACCGGCCACAUGGGGACUGAGAUACGGCCCAGACUCCUACGGGAGGCAGCAGUGGGGAAUAUUGCACAAUGGGCGGAAGCCUGAUGCAGCAACGCCGCGUGCGGGAUGACGGCCUUCGGGUUGUAAACCGCUUUCGCCUGUGACGAAGCGUGAGUGACGGUAAUGGGUAAAGAAGCACCGGCUAACUACGUG
Molecule: ribosomal RNA, 468 nt
Filed under: uncultured bacterium
Lineage: Bacteria
Description: partial 16S ribosomal RNA
Rfam family: Bacterial small subunit ribosomal RNA
Source: RNAcentral